This is a long non-coding RNA of Aphis gossypii (cotton aphid), 782 nucleotides long. RefSeq lists it as uncharacterized. The record is from RefSeq and is a predicted model, not a curated record. The transcript has 3 exons. Lineage: Eukaryota; Metazoa; Arthropoda; Insecta; Hemiptera; Aphididae.
UGAAGUUGGGUGACCAAAGCUAGGUGACUGUUUUUCAGACGAAUAGUGAUAAGAAACCUUGUAUGUGUUGCUGCAUUAUGUUUAAUUCCAGGCGCCAAACAUUUAUAUUGCCAUUUCUAAGUUACUUCACCGUUAUAAAACACAAGAUGUCGCACUAUGUCAUGUAAUAAUUAUCUGUUUUAAAAGUAUAUUAUAAAUAAAUAUUACCACGAUAAUUAUACCGAACAUAUUGUCAUCAUACCAUUAUGAUUUGUAACAAACCAAUAAUAAUAGAAACUAGAAAGUUAGGUUAUAACUUAUUAAUCUCUCCAUAGUCGGGCAUAGUCCAUAAUAUAAUACACGUACUAAGUUCUAACAAAUAUACGUUGCCAUGUUGUUUAAAAGUUUAAAGAUACUGUGGUAUAACCAUUAUUUGGAAAUGUAUGAAUCAUAAUAUCUAGUCACAGUUCUAAUCAUUGAAGGAGUGUUUAUGUUUUGAGUAUUUCAAUCCACAAGCUGUUGCAAAAUAAGUUGAAUGACAAGAUUUCCAUUUAUGAAUGGUCUACAAACAAGUUUCAUGCAGUCUACUGUCUACAUUCACUAUUAUACACAAGAUAGCAAUAUUUAAUUUAUCAUCACUCAGUGUUAUUGGAUCCUUUUUAGCCUUUUAGGCUUAAAUCCUUAUUUUAAUUAUUAAAAUCAUACCUGUCUAAUAUUUUUUGUUUAAAUAUGCAAUAUUUGAAAAAGUGACAAUCGUCAGCACAUGUAUUACAAUAUUUGUACAAUAUGAAGAUUUUUAUUAA